UAGCUCAGUUGGUAGAGUCCUGGAUUGUGAUUCCAGUUGUCGCGGGUUCGAGUCCCGU
This 58-nucleotide transfer RNA is filed under the name Enterovibrio norvegicus FF-162. RNAcentral's name for it is "tRNA-His". It matches the Rfam family "tRNA", at positions 8 to 63 of the family's 71-position model. From Rfam's summary of the family: Transfer RNA (tRNA) molecules are approximately 80 nucleotides in length. Their secondary structure includes four short double-helical elements and three loops (D, anti-codon, and T loops). Lineage: Bacteria; Pseudomonadati; Pseudomonadota; Gammaproteobacteria; Vibrionales; Vibrionaceae. The record is from RNAcentral.